GGGUCCGGACACACUGAGGAUUGACAGAUAUACGCUCAUUGCAGUGCUUCGGCGCCGCAUUUGAGCUGAAAGAUGCUAGUUCUUUCAUGAUUAUGUGAUAGGUGGUGCAUGGCCGUUCUUAGUUCGUGGAGUGAUCUGUCUGCUUAAUUGCGUAUCAAUAAUAGAGACCUAGUAUACGCGCGGAUUUCGUGUGGUAGUGACCCCCUGUUCGCAGGCGUGUGUCGCACACGCGUAAGCGCACUGGUCUCAGAUAGCAACGAACGUGACCGUAUUCUAUUGUUGCAGUGAAUAUGUGUGCCUUCGGGCAUACGACCCACUGCUUAGUGUAUGUACGUGCUUCGGUGCGCACAAUACACAUUAAAACUAUAGAGACGGCUGUUUUCUUCUUUAAACCAGAGGAAGGAUACGGCAAUAACAGGUCUGUGAUGCCCUCAGAUGUUCCGGGCUGCACACGUGCUACAAUGAUCAUUGCACUGUGCAUCUAACCCAAUGUGCGUGGACGCCGCAUGUAUGUACUCCUUGUGGGUACACGCAUUGCUGAGCGACCACGUCGAACCUACUUCGAAAGUAAAAUUUCUCUGUGGGU
This 586-nucleotide ribosomal RNA is filed under the name Ammonia sp. genotype T2. RNAcentral's name for it is "bacterial SSU rRNA". The stretch from base 1 to 460 matches the Rfam family "Eukaryotic small subunit ribosomal RNA", at positions 1220 to 1501 of the family's 1831-position model. Lineage: Eukaryota; Foraminifera; Rotaliida; Rotaliidae. The record is from RNAcentral.